UANAGAAUCCUCAUCACUCUCCCUGCUACUGGCCAAAGUGUAGAAAUCGAUGUCUCCUAUGACACGGGCGAGUCCCUCUCUAAAGAUGGAUACUCUAUUUUGUUCAAGAUACUAUGGAGCGUUUUGGUGUUGACUGUAUCAGCGAUCAUCAUGUUGAAAGUGAUAGAUAGAUCAGGUCCAACAGGAGCUACUAGAACUGCAACAAACGGUGGAGCUGCAGCACCGGGAACACCAGAAAGAAGAAGCGGUGUGGUUACUUACCACGAGGAAUCUCCUAGAACACCAUCACCUUUUAUGGAGUAUGUGAAGAGAACAGUGGAUGAAACUCCUUAUUACAAAAGAGAAGGAAGAAGAAGGUUCAAUCCUCAAAACACUAUGUAAAAUCUAAGAUGAUGAUGAUUUUGUUGCUAGUUGGAAACUUUGUUCAUUAGAGAUUAGAACAUCUUUUUGUUUGUAAACCACCAAACCCGAGGCCAGCAAUGUUUAUAGAAUUUGUAAAUUGAAUUGUCAUCAAAGGAUCCGUAAUUUGUCAGAUAUAGGCAAGUUAUUUAGGUUUUUGAAUUAA
Camelina sativa (false flax) is the source of this 565-nucleotide non-coding RNA. Lineage: Eukaryota; Viridiplantae; Streptophyta; Magnoliopsida; Brassicales; Brassicaceae. The record is from RefSeq and is a predicted model, not a curated record.